This is a long non-coding RNA of Doryrhamphus excisus (bluestripe pipefish), 569 nucleotides long. RefSeq lists it as uncharacterized. The record is from RefSeq and is a predicted model, not a curated record. Lineage: Eukaryota; Metazoa; Chordata; Actinopteri; Syngnathiformes; Syngnathidae.
AGCGUACAAUCGGCGACGACCGAGACAAUAUGCCGUGUGCUGUCCGACACAACCUUAUUCCUGUUGCCACAGUGGAUCUUUUUCACCACUGCUCUCCUGGAACUGUCAGGGCACUGAUUCUGGAUGAAAAGUCUUCUCCAUAUCGUUAGUUCCUGCAGAUCCGAUAUGACCUCCUGUCUCCAUUCAGCUGCUCAAGGCAGAUGGUUUCUUACCAUUGGUGACCACAGAAGUGUUCAUGGGGGUGAAACGGUGGAUUGUUUUGCAACAUGUGCAGACUUCCUGAGAGAACGAUUGCUACACAACACCAAAUACACAGAAAUAUGUGUUUAUCAAUCCUUUAUGCAUGUAAAACUGUAAUUGUAAAACUCUAAAACUAAACUUGUUGUUUGAGACGAGCUAAUAGGAUGCUAUCAUGGAUGUUUUCUGAUAAAAUACAUUACAAACUCAGGUGGACUCACAGUGUGUAAACAACAUAAGAUGCUAACCAGAAAAAAUACUGGCCUACAUAUUUGACUGAAAAACAUGCUAACUGAGGCGUACGCUAACCCAGGUUCCACUGUACAGUCAUC